This 28-nucleotide non-coding RNA is filed under the name Mus musculus (house mouse). Lineage: Eukaryota; Metazoa; Chordata; Mammalia; Rodentia; Muridae. The record is from RNAcentral.
UGUGAGGAGAUCGCUUAAGGUACAUGUU